GGAAUUUUCCGCAAUGGGCGAAAGCCUGACGGAGCAAUACCGCGUGAGGGAAGACGGCCUAUGGGUUGUAAACCUCUUUUCUCAGGGAGGGAAUCAAUGACGUUACCUGAAGAAUAAGCAUCGGCUAACUCCGUGCCAGCAGCCGCGGUAAGACGGAGGAUGCAAGCGUUAUCCGGAAUCACUGGGCGUAAAGCGUCUGUAGGUUGUUGAACAAGUCAACUGUUAAAUCUUGAGGCUCAACUUCAAAAUCGCAGUCGAAACUGUUUGACUAGAGUAUAGUAGGGGUAAAGGGAAUUUCCAGUGGAGCGGUGAAAUGCGUAGAGAUUGGAAAGAACACCGAUGGCGAAGGCACUUUACUGGGCUAUUACUGACACUCAGAGACGAAAGCUAGGGUAGCAAAUGGGAUUAGAUACCCCUGUAGUC
This 423-nucleotide ribosomal RNA is filed under the name uncultured eukaryotic phytoplankton. RNAcentral describes it as "bacterial SSU rRNA". It matches the Rfam family "Bacterial small subunit ribosomal RNA", at positions 358 to 795 of the family's 1533-position model. The record is from RNAcentral.